GGGAAUGUGGCUUAGUGGUAGAGUGCUUGCAUAGUAUGCAUGGAACCCUGAGUUUGAUUCUCAGUACCA
RNAcentral lists this transfer RNA (69 nucleotides) under Dipodomys ordii (Ord's kangaroo rat). It matches the Rfam family "tRNA". Rfam says of the family: Transfer RNA (tRNA) molecules are approximately 80 nucleotides in length. Their secondary structure includes four short double-helical elements and three loops (D, anti-codon, and T loops). The record is from Rfam by way of RNAcentral. Lineage: Eukaryota; Metazoa; Chordata; Mammalia; Rodentia; Heteromyidae.